Triticum aestivum (bread wheat) is the source of this 766-nucleotide long non-coding RNA. RefSeq lists it as uncharacterized. The record is from RefSeq and is a predicted model, not a curated record. Lineage: Eukaryota; Viridiplantae; Streptophyta; Magnoliopsida; Poales; Poaceae. The transcript is spliced from 4 exons.
CCCUCACCCCCCGAUUUUCUUUCCCCCGUCCCAGUCCCACCUCUCGUACGACCCACUCGAUUUUCUUUCCCCCUCUGGCCUGCUCCUCAUGCCGGCGUCCGGCGCCACCGCUACCAACCUCCAGCCGUCGUCCAAAACAACAGCACCAUGGAUCCCGAUGUGGAGCUCCACUGCAGCCCGAUCUGACCUGGGAGCGACCAGAUCCGUGCGUCUCCGCCUCGCUCCGCGUGCCUCCAUGGUCCGCCGUCUUCCCGAGCGCCGGCGCCACGCGACCAGAUCCGUGCGUCUCCACCUCGCUCCGCGCGCCUCCAUGGUCCGCCGUCUUCCCGAGCGCCGGCGCUGCGCUCAGCCGCCGCCAUCCCGUGCCAUGGUCGCCUCCCUCUAGAACGACGUGCCAUGGUCGCUUCCCUGCCUCUCCCGCAAGUGGGCCUUUGCGUUUCUUUGCUUUUUUUCAGGACACUAGGUGCCAGGUUGGAGAUUUGGGAUCGGAUGCGCCAAUAACAAGGGACCAAGGUGAUGAACUAACGGCACGGGCAGAAUGAUUCUUCAGGAUGAAUCAGAAACUGAAGAUGAUGAUACAAUGGACACAGAAGAAGCUUCCUCUGUCCUCAUCACUGCACUGUAGUCUUUCAGCCAAGCUCUGGUGAAUGAUGACGGAGAAAAAGAUAUCGUGACAGAGGUUCAUGUCUUCUUGUGUCCAACCCUAGAUCACAGGGGCUCUCUUAUCAGCAAAAUAGCUACUCUAGAUGUGCAGAUGACGAUCCAG